Molecule: ribosomal RNA, 497 nt
Filed under: uncultured bacterium
Lineage: Bacteria
Description: partial 16S ribosomal RNA
Rfam family: Bacterial small subunit ribosomal RNA
Source: RNAcentral
GAUGAACGCUGGCGGCGUGCCUAAUACAUGCAAGUCGAGCGAACAGACGAGGAGCUUGCUCCUCUGACGUUAGCGGCGGACGGGUGAGUAACACGUGGAUAACCUACCUAUAAGACUGGGAUAACUUCGGGAAACCGGAGCUAAUACCGGAUAAUAUAUUGAACCGCAUGGUUCAAUAGUGAAAGACGGUUUUGCUGUCACUUAUAGAUGGAUCCGCGCCGCAUUAGCUAGUUGGUAAGGUAACGGCUUACCAAGGCGACGAUGCGUAGCCGACCUGAGAGGGUGAUAGGCCACACUGGAACUGAGACACGGACCAGACUCCUACGGGAGGCAGCAGUAGGGAAUCUUACGCAAUGGGCGAAAGCCUGACGGAGCAACGCCGCGUGAGUGAUGAAGGUCUUCGGAUCGUAAAACUCUGUUAUUAGGGAAGAACAAAUGUGUAAGUAACUAUGCACGUCUUGACGGUACCUAAUCAGAAAGCCACGGCUAACUACGUG